AGAUCCAAAGUUCAAGCAUGGUAGCUUGUUAGCCUGCCUGUUGUUGUGAAGAUUUAUACAUAGUUUCUUCAGAUCUUUCAUCAAGCAAAAGGACCUGCAUGCUCUGAGUUCCAGUGCAAUAUCGCCGCCUACGUUUUGUGAUUUGUCUCUCCUGUGAAGAUGAUUGCAACCUCUGUAUGUGGAACUCCUUUGCUGUGCACAGCAGACGGUUUGAAAAGGAACGCCAGGUGGAAACAUUCUACCAACCAAAAAAGAAAUCCACUAAUAAUUUCUCAAAAUGAACUUUAGUCACAUGGAUAAAAAUACAUAAAAGUGCUCAGUCUUUACAGUACCUUAGGGCAGACAAUAA
Cynoglossus semilaevis (tongue sole) is the source of this 349-nucleotide long non-coding RNA. RefSeq lists it as uncharacterized. The record is from RefSeq and is a predicted model, not a curated record. Lineage: Eukaryota; Metazoa; Chordata; Actinopteri; Pleuronectiformes; Cynoglossidae. The transcript is spliced from 3 exons.